GUACACGCUGUGACUAGCAUAUCAAUAAGCGGAGGAAAAGGAGUACCUACGCUUAGGAUGUUGACGAGACUGUCGAUCUCAUCUAUACAUGACUCUGUGCAUAUCAAUAAGCGGAGGAAAAGGUACCUACGCUUAGGAUGUUGACGAGACUGUCGAUCUCAUCUAUACAUGACUCUGUGCAUAUCAAUAAGCGGAGGAAAAGGCUGCGGAACUGAACGACCGCUACCUACGCUUAGGAUGUUGACGAGACUGUCGAUCUCAUCUAUACAUGACUCUGCGCAUAUCAAUAAGCGGAGGAAAAGAAACUAACAAGGAUUCCCUUAGUAACGGCGAGUGAAGCGGGAAGAGCUCAAAUUUGAAAUCUUCAAGGUUUUACCUUGACGAAUUGUAGUUUAAAGAAGUGUUUUCUGCUGAAGUUUUGGUAAAAGUUCUUUGGAAUAGGACAUCAUAGAGGGUGAGAAUCCCGUAUUUGACCAUUAUUUUCAGCUUUGUGAUACACUUUCAAAGAGUCGGAUUGUUUGGGAAUGCAGUCCAAAAUGGGUGGUAAAUUUCAUCUAAAGCUAAAUAUUGGCGAGAGACCGAUAGCGAACAAGUACCGUGAGGGAAAGAUGAAAAGAACUUUGAAAAGAGAGUUAAACAGUACGUGAAAUUGUCAAAAGGGAAGCGUUUGACACCAGUGUUGUUUUCUCGAAAAUCAAUUAAAAAUGGCUCGAUUUUGUAUUGCUGAGACCUUAAAAGCUCACUGUACAUUUUUCGUGUCUUUUUUAAUGCACUUUUCGUUUAACAAGUCAACAUCAGUUUCUUUUGUUGUAAAAGGGUCAUUGGAAGGUGGCUUUCUUUUCGGAGAAAGUGUUUAUAGCCUUUGGCCUCUGCAAUCGAAGAGACUGAGGUCUGCAGCGUAGACUCUUCGGGGUUAGAUACAUUUGUGCUAAGUUAUAGCUUUUUAUAGACAACUUGUUGACUAUAAUUAGUCUUGUAGCUUACUCGCUUAUGCUAUUUUACCUACGCUUAGGAUGUUGACUGCAUGAGAUAUACGC
Molecule: ribosomal RNA, 1037 nt
Filed under: uncultured Neocallimastigales
Lineage: Eukaryota; Fungi; Neocallimastigomycota; Neocallimastigomycetes; Neocallimastigales
Description: partial large subunit ribosomal RNA
Rfam family: Eukaryotic large subunit ribosomal RNA (bases 254-1037)
Source: RNAcentral